This 1458-nucleotide ribosomal RNA is filed under the name metagenome. Its description in RNAcentral is "bacterial SSU rRNA". It matches the Rfam family "Bacterial small subunit ribosomal RNA". The record is from RNAcentral.
AGAGUUUGAUUCUGGCUCAGAAUGAACGCUGGCGGCGUGCCUAAGACAUGCAAGUCGCACGAGAAAGUAGCUUCGGCUAUGAGUAGAGUGGCGCACGGGUGAGUAAUAUUUAGAUUACGUACCCUUUCGCUGGGGAUAACUAGGGGAAACUCUAGCUAAUACCGAAUAACCUGGAGACAGGAAAGCCGUAAGGCGCGAAGGGAUCGGUCUGAACACCAUUAGCUAGUUGGUAGGGUAAAAGCCUACCAAGGCAACGAUGGUUAGCUGGUCUGAGAGGACGAUCAGCCACACUGGCACUGGAACACGGGCCAGACUCCUACGGGAGGCAGCAGUUAGGAAUUUUGCGCAAUGGGGGAAACCCUGACGCAGCAACGCCGCGUGAGUGAUGAAGGCCUUCGGGUUGUAAAGCUCUUUUAGCAGGAAAGAAAUAAAUGACGGUACCUGCAGAAAAAGCACCGGCUAACUCUGUGCCAGCAGCCGCGGUAAUACAGAGGGUGCAAGCGUUAUUCGGAUUUACUGGGCGUAAAGGGCGCGUAGGUGGUUUUCUAAGUUUGAUGUGAAAUACCUCGACUCAAUCGGGGAAGUGCAUUGAAUACUGGAAGACUAGAGUUUAGGAGAGGAGAGCGGAAUUCCUGGUGUAGAGGUGAAAUUCGUAGAUAUCAGGAGGAACAACGAAGGCGAAGGCAGCUCUCUGGACUAAUACUGACACUGAGGCGCGAAAGCGUGGGGAGCAAACAGGAUUAGAUACCCUGGUAGUCCACGCCAUAAACGAUGGAUAUUAGAUGUCGGGAGCACUUGUUCUCUCGGUGUCGUAGCUAACGCGUUAAAUAUCCCGCCUGGGGAGUACGGUCGCAAGAUUAAAACUCAAAGAAAUUGACGGGGGCCCGCACAAGUGGUGGAGGAUGUUGUUUAAUUCGAUCCACGCGAAAAACCUUACCUAGGCUUGACAUCCCACGCUAUCCUAUGAAAGUAGGAGUUCCUUCGGGACGUGGAGACAGGUGUUGCAUGGCUGUCGUCAGCUCGUGUCGUGAGAUGUUGGGUUAAGUCCCGCAACGAGCGCAACCCCCGCCAUUAGUUGCCAGCAUUAAGUUGGGCACUCUAAUGGGACCGCUUGCUGAUAAGGCAGAGGAAGGUGGGGAUGACGUCAAGUCCGCAUGGCCCUUACGCCUAGGGCCACAAACGUCCUACAAUGGUCAGUACAGAGCGUUACUAAGCCGCAAGGUAGAGUUAAUCGCAGAAAGCUGACCUCAGUACAGAUUGUAGUCUGCAACUCGACUACAUGAAGUUGAAAUCACUAGUAAUCGCGGAUCAGCACGCCGCGGUGAAUACGUUCCCGGGCCUUGUACACACCGCCCGUCACACCAUGGAAGUUGGGGCUGCUUGAAGAGGCUGAGCUAACCGCAAGGAGGCAAGUCUCAAUGGUGGAACCGAUGACUGGGGUGAAGUCGUAACAAGGUA